CGUAGGGACCAAGCGUUGUUCGGAUUUACUGGGCGUAAAGGGUGCGUAGGCGGCGCGGUAAGUCGGGUGUGAAAUCUCGGAGCUUAACUCCGAAACUGCAUUCGAUACUGCCGUGCUUGAGGACUGGAGAGGAGACUGGAAUUUACGGUGUAGCGGUGAAAUGCGUAGAUAUCGUAAGGAAGACCAGUGGCGAAGGCGGGUCUCUGGACAGUUCCUGACGCUGAGGCACGAAGGUCAGGGGAGCAAACGGG
This 251-nucleotide ribosomal RNA is filed under the name uncultured bacterium. Its description in RNAcentral is "partial 16S ribosomal RNA". It matches the Rfam family "Bacterial small subunit ribosomal RNA", at positions 526 to 776 of the family's 1533-position model. The record is from RNAcentral.